UUUUUAAACAUAUAGAUACAUAUAUAUUGAUACACACACACAAUAUAAUUGGAAGGUAAUCUCAGAGGGAAGCCAUUAGCAGGAAGUCGGAAGCAGGGGCCUCCAGAGAGACCUACAGAACUGGGGAUUUGAGGGGCAGAGUCCUUCUCUUUAGCCUUAUCUAGUCAUGAAUUCCAGAGCCAUAGGAGCUUAGUAAGGGAAGGCAGUGAGACGGAGAACGGGAGGGAGAUGGGAAACAUCCCUCCCCUUUUGAACUUUAGAGUCUCACCCCAGCACCCAGGACCACACUCAGUGUCAUUGUCAGCGGUCCUGGCUCACACUGGGAAGUUCUGCGCUCUAGUCAACUGGGAAAUAGAUUUUGAUGUUUAAAAAAAAAAAGGAAAGGUUUCAUGAUAAAAAAGGCAUUCAUUCUCCCCAGCCGGCGGGAGGCUCUGGCCGUCCUGCUCCUGUCACCCCUGAGGAUUCUUCCAGCGCCAUCUCCAUCAGCUCGAGCAUCAGCUCAGCCAAGUUGGGACUCUUGGCACGGCCCCCGUGUAGAGCCCAGCCAAAGAAUUCCAUGCUGUGCACAUCUGCAGCGCGGAACGCGGGCCUUUCGGAGGGAGAUUUAUUGCUUUUGCUUCUUCCCCUCCUCCUCGUCGAAGGUUUCUGGAUGCUGUUCCUUGUGUACAGCAUGCGCCUCGGGCUUAUCGGGGACGGCUUCUGGUUCCUGGAUAGUGUUCCGUGGCUGCCGCCCUUUUUUUCCUGACGAUCACAGAAAGGCGCUAGUGACUCAUAAGGGACCAGAGAACUACUGGACCAUUUGGAGAACUCCACUGCCCUAGAAGCAUCCCUGCUAGAAAUUAUGCUGCUAAACCUCUACAAUAGAAGCAGGGGAGAAACUGCAUGAAAAACUAUUUGGGCAAAACUCUGAUUCAGAGAAUAAUGUCUUCUGUAAUUCUUCUCUUUUCUAAUAACACUUUCCCUCUAAUCUGUUGCCUCUUCUAAUCAAAUAGAUAUACUGCCUUGAAUCCCUGGCAUCUGGAACAAAAUACAUCUUAUAAAUCACAAGCACUGCAGUAUGAAUUAUUCAGACUCGUUACCCCAACUUCCAGGGGCAUUUUGAGUCUGGCUCCAACUAGCUUCCUCUUCCUUCUAAAAGGCAAAAGGAGCCCACCUGGUGACCCUGGGCUCCAAAUGCUGAGCAUUCAUCUUGUCCUGGUCUCAAGCCCACCUAAAGGGGCAUUGACCUACUUGCUAUGAAAAGGUUAAAAAAAAAAAGGACAUUGAAAGCUGGUCUUCUUCCCCCCCAUCCCAAGAGGGCCAAUUUAUAUGAACAGCAGUCCUUGCCCCAGUCAUUGCUGUCUCAAUCUAUAUCUCAAAUUUCUUCAGCUGAUCUUCCCAUAACUGUAUCAUUGUAUGUCUAAGAAUGCCCAUAGCUGAAGCCAAUAGUACAUCUUGUCCUGAAGACAAGAUCCAAUUGGCCCUGACUCAGAUGGGUCAUAGGGUAUGGCAAGGGGGUACCAUAGAGUCAUUCUAUCAAACUCAUUCCCUUUCAGAGGCACUAACUGGGGCUAGCUACAACAAGAAUUCACCUUUAAUGGAGCCAGGUACACAUAGUUUCUGUAGUAUUCCAGGAAGAAUCUCGGAGCUGAGCCACAAAGAGUGUACUUACCAUGCCUCUAGCUUGUACGUCAAAGAUUUGUCAAGCCAAUGUAAAUCCUCUAUAUGUAUUACCUGCCUCUGACGUCAUUACAUCAAUAAAAAGUCAGGAAGGGACA
Molecule: long non-coding RNA, 1757 nt
Filed under: Monodelphis domestica (gray short-tailed opossum)
Lineage: Eukaryota; Metazoa; Chordata; Mammalia; Didelphimorphia; Didelphidae
Description: lncRNA (ENSMODG00000040639.1)
Source: RNAcentral